AGAGAAGCUGUACGGAUGACUUAGUGGCUUUACCUAACAGAUGCAGAGGUGACAUGCAGCGUCUCAAAUGUUUCCCUGCUGCCCUACAUCUCGCCUGACGCGUUUUCUUCUCGUGAAUCAAGGCUAUGGAAUCCACUGGAUGCAGAGAGAAUCUGAACACGUGAACUUCUAGAUGGUUGUAUGAUGGGGACAACAUAUUAUCUUGCUUAAAUAAUAACCAACAUCAUCAGCAUCUCAUAGAUGCAAAGUUGAAUCGCACGCGACAAAAAUAAACAGAGAUGUUGAAGGUAUUGUGAGUUUCGCCCAGUGGUGGUCGUCUGUAAGAGGAGGGUUUAAUCAGGGUCGUUAUACGCCCCUUUAAUGCAAGUUUCCAUGGAGGACGGAUCUAUUAGGAGGACAUUUCCAUCGGAAGUCCUUCACGGACUCUUCGCAGUGGCUUUUGUAAAAAAUGUGCGGCGCUUGGGUCGCCAGUAACACGGUUAUUUACAAUGAUGGGACCGCGCAGCCAGUCUCAGGCAGAGCCAAGCAUGACUCCGCCACGAUGCUCAUCCUCCGCUGCUGACAGGUUGCCUACGGAGACUGUUCAGAGAAAUAACAGCAGUAAUACUGGUGUUAUUCUGGACAUCUCCACCCUGAAAAUGGCCGAUGUGGACUCUGAGGUUCCUCCUCUACCUCCACGAUACCGCUUUAGAGAUCUGCUGCUUGGAGAUCAAUCAUUUCAGAAUGAUGACAGGGUGCAGGUGGAAUUUUAUGUAAAUGAAAACACAUUCAAGGAGAGGUUGAAGCUCUUUUUCAUCAAAAACCAAAGGUCAAGUCUCAGAAUACGCCUCUUCAACCUCUCCUUGAAGUUGUUAACAUGUCUGCUCUAUAUAAUCAGAGUCUCACUAGAUGAUCCAACUAACCAGGUCACAUGUGCACGGAAACACUGCACAAACAUCACAGAUGCCCUUUGCAGCAAAGCCUGUGCAAACUACACAACAAACCCGACCACAGAUCCCCCGCAAAUAAACUGGGAGUUAAUAUUUUGGGUGAAUAGGAGAGUUCCUGUAUGGGCAAUACAGGUGACAGUGGCCUUAAUUAGCUUCUUGCAAGCAAUGCUCCUGGUGUAUCUCAGCUAUAAGGGGAACAUUUGGGAGCAAAUUUUCCAAAUCUCCUUCAUCAUUGAGAUGAUCAAUACAGUGCCAUUUAUAAUUACAAUCUUUUGGCAUCCGCUAAGAAACAUAUUUGUUCCUGUGUUUCUUAAUUGUUGGCUUGCCAAAUCAGCGCUGGAGAACAUGAUUAAUGAUCUCCAUCGUGCCAUUCAGCGCACACACUCUGCCAUGUUCAACCAGGUCCUCAUUCUGAUCUGUACACUGCUCUGUCUGGUCUUCACUGGGGCUUGUGGGAUUCAGCAUCUCGAGCGGGCAGGAAAGAGUCUCACCCUCUUCGACUCUUUAUAUUUCUGCAUCGUCACCUUCUCGACUGUUGGUUAUGGAGACGUCACACCCAAAAUCUGGCCCUCUCAGCUACUGGUGGUCAUCAUGAUCUGUGUGGCUCUGGUGGUGCUGCCAUUACAGUUUGAGGAGUUGGCGUAUCUCUGGAUGGAGAGGCAGAAGUCAGGUGGAAACUACAGCAGACACCGUGCUCAGACAGAGAAACAUGUGGUUCUCUGUGUCACUUCACUCAAAAUAGACUUGCUCAUGGAUUUCCUCAAUGAGUUCUAUGCCCACCCGAGACUACAGGAUUAUUAUGUGGUGAUACUCUGUCCCACGGAGAUGGACAUCCAGGUGCGGCGUAUUCUGCAGAUCCCGCUGUGGUCUCAACGGGUCAUCUACCUCCAAGGCUCUGCACUGAAGGACCAAGAUCUGAUGAGGGCCAAGAUGGACGAUGCAGAGGCGUGCUUCAUCCUCAGCAGCAGAAAUGAAGUGGACCGCACCGCAGCCGAUCAUCAAACCAUUCUGCGAGCCUGGGCUGUGAAGGACUUUGCUCCAAACUGUCCUCUAUAUGUCCAGAUUCUUAAACCUGAGAACAAAUUCCAUGUCAAAUUUGCAGGUAUGUUUUGUUUUCUAGAUCAUGUGGUGUGUGAAGAGGAGUUCAAGUAUGCCAUGCUGGCCCUCAACUGUGUGUGUCCAGCCACCUCUACACUGGUCACACUGCUGGUGCACACGUCUCGUGGACAGGAGGGACAGACUUCUCCAGAACAGUGGCAGAGGACGUAUGGCCGUUGCUCGGGGAAUGAAGUUUACCACAUCCGUUUGAUGGACAGCAAGUUCUUUGGCGAAUAUGACGGGAAGAGUUUCACUUACGCCUCCUUCCAUGCACAUAAAAAGUACGGUGUCUGCCUAAUUGGCACAAAGAGAGAAGAGAAUAAGAGCAUACUUCUGAACCCCGGCCCUCGCCACAUCAUGUCCGCCACAGAUACCUGCUACUACAUCAACAUCACUAAGGAGGAGAACUCUGCGUUCAUCUUCAAACAGGAGGAGAAGCACAGCAAAGGGCUGUCGGCCACCGGCGUGUAUGACGCUCCCUCUCGUCUCCCGGUGCAAAGCAUCAUCGCAAGCAUGGUUGAUCAGUCUGCUUCAUAUGGAACUGUGGCCAUUGACCUGCAGAAUCCAGAUCCACCGGCUGACAGCAGUAAACUGGCUCUGCCCACGGAGAACGGAGCUGGGAGUCGGAGACCCAGCAUUGCCCCUGUGCUGGAGAUUGCAGAUUCCUCUGCCAUCCUGCCUUGUGAUCUUCUCAGUGACCCCUCUGAAGAUGAGACCAACCAGUCCGAUGAGGAAGGAGCACCGGCCAUAGAGUGUGUUAAAGGCUACCCUCCAAACUCCCCUUACAUUGGAAGCUCCCCAACUCUUUGCCACCUUCUGCAACAAAAGGCGCCAUUUUGUUGUUUACGACUUGACAAGGGUUGUCGGCACAAUAGUUUUGAAGAUGCCAAGGCGUAUGGUUUCAAGAACAAGUUGAUUAUCGUUUCGGCUGAGACAGCAGGAAACGGCUUGUACAACUUCAUAGUGCCGCUGCGUGCCUAUUACCGACCCCGGAAGGAGCUGAAUCCCAUUGUGUUGCUGUUGGAUAACCCGCCCGAUAAUCAUUUUCUUGAGGCCAUCUGCUGUUUCCCUAUGGUGUACUACAUGGCUGGAACCAUAGACAAUUUGGAUAACUUACUGCAGUGUGGCAUCAUCUACGCUGAUAACCUGGUGGUGGUGGACAAGGAGAGCACUAUGAGUGCAGAGGAAGACUACAUGGCAGAUGCUAAAACCAUAGUCAAUGUGCAGACCAUGUUCAGGUUGUUUCCUAGUCUCAGCAUAAUCACUGAGCUAACCCAUCCUUCUAAUAUGAGAUUCAUGCAGUUUCGUGCCAAAGACUGCUACUCCCUGGCUCUCUCCAAACUUGAAAAGAUCGAGAGAGAUAAAGGCUCUAAUCUGGCAUUCAUGUUCCGCCUCCCAUUCGCUGCAGGCAGAGUGUUCAGUAUUAGUAUGCUGGACACUCUACUUUACCAGUCUUUUGUGAAGGACUACAUGAUUCUCAUUGCAAGACUUCUGCUGGGUCUAGACACCACCCCGGGCUCUGGCUACCUGUGUGCUAUGAAGGUAUCGGAAGAGGACUUAUGGAUCCGGACAUAUGGAAGACUAUUCCAGAAGCUGUGUUCAUCUAGUGCAGAAAUCCCCAUUGGGAUAUACCGCACUGAAUCUCACAUGUUCUCUUCCUCGGAGUCUCAGGUGUCUGUGGAGGACUGUGAGGACCCGCGGGAUCGCAGGGAAUCCUGGAAAGAGAAAACCGCCCACAGAAACUCCACAGGGAGCGACCAAUCAGAGCACCCACUCCUGCGGAAGAAGAGCAUGCAGUGGGCGAGACGGCUGAGCAGGAAAAACACUAAACCACCCAGUCGAGCCGAACGCAUCAAUCAACAGCGCCUGAACCUGUACCGGCGCUCCGAGAGACAGGAGCUGUCAGAGCUGGUGAAGAACCGCAUGAAGCACUUAGGGCUGCCCACUGUGGGAUACGAGGACGUAGCUAAUUUAACCGCAAGUGAUGUGAUGAACCGAGUAAAUCUAGGAUAUUUGCAAGCAUGGCAACCGAGCAACGUUUAUGGGGUCAGCUGUGAUUAUAUGAUGCAGUAUAUGGAUGGAUGGAUGGAUGGAAAUAUUGAAUUCGUGGGUGGAUGCGGACCCUGUCUGCAUGUGUCCGCGCAUGGGGAGCGCUUGCGGUUGCAUGGGCGUUCCGUAAAUGCAGCCAUGCCCUGUCAGUAACGGUUAGCCCUUCUCUCUCUUUUACCUGGCCUGGCACUAUAAGUGGCUCAAACAGGUGGGUUUGGAGAAGCAGAGACACUUUGUCCCAGUCUUGAGUCUCCUUAUUUCCAGAACUGCAAAGGUUCACACUUCUCAGUCAUUUACAAGCAGGUAAAAUACAACAAAGCCUCAGAAACCCAGCCUACAAAAUCGUAACACUGUGGGGUUACACAACAACUGCCUCCCCUUUUGACAUUUUAUUGAAUAUAUUUCCCUACUUUUGUUGGCUAUUCUGACUCAACUCAACAGUAUAGAGAAGUUUCAUUAUUUAUAAUAGGGAGUAGGGAUAAAGAUAAAUGUUAAAGAUAAUUUAUCAGAACUGUGUCACAUGAAUGUUUUUGGUUAUUAAGAACUGAAACGGGUUAAGUACGACAGUGAUGUUGUGUUUUGUUUCUCUUGCAGAUGAAAUGAAUGACAAUCAGAACACGUUGUCGUAUGUGCUGAUAAACCCUCCUCCGGACACCAUUCUAGAGCUCAAUGAUAUUGUCUAUAUCAUCCGCUCUGAUCCGCUGGCACACGUCCCUGACAAUCUCCCAGGGGCUCCAGCAGGA
RNA transcript from Rhinichthys klamathensis goyatoka, 4819 nucleotides. It is a transcript of the gene named potassium sodium-activated channel subfamily T member 1b, with no coding region annotated. NCBI's taxonomy places the organism in Eukaryota, Metazoa, Chordata, Actinopteri, Cypriniformes, Leuciscidae. The record is from RefSeq and is a predicted model, not a curated record. The transcript is spliced from 33 exons.